Molecule: long non-coding RNA, 1089 nt
Filed under: Bos indicus x Bos taurus (hybrid cattle)
Lineage: Eukaryota; Metazoa; Chordata; Mammalia; Artiodactyla; Bovidae
Description: lncRNA (ENSBIXG00000025480.1)
Source: RNAcentral
AUGGUACCUGGAGGCCUUCUAGCUGAGAGGAGGGCAGGGGACCUGCAGGGGAAGGAAGAUGCAAGACUAGUGUGGAGCAGGAUACGGCAUCAGGGGAAGCUUGAUGAAGUUCUCUUAAACCUGUUCCUGGGGUUCUUGGGAUCGAGAUUCGACCCUGAGUUUCUAGGGGUUUUGUCCCCUGCACUCAGGGCUGAGGACACUGUUUUGUACACAGCCCAGUCAUCCAAGGGGUUUCCUUUGAAAGCUCCCUGCCGUGUCCAGGAGUGAGCAGCAUCCUGGACAGUGAGCACACCGCCUGGUGAAGCUUCAGAGGAGAGUGAGUGAUUCACUUAAGGGAAGAGGUGGGGAAACCAGUGGAAUUAACACAUAUUGAGUCCCCGCUGUGGUCAAGCACUCUGCCAGCCCUUUGGAAACCCGGACCUUGACAGUGGUGCUAGGGUGUGGUCCUGCGGCACCCAGGUCACAGGUGAGGAGAUACAGAAGAGGGGUGACUGGCCUGGGUUCGCUUAGCUCAUAAGCAGCUGUGCUGAAAUCUGGAUGCAAACUUCUUGCUCGCCCCAAACCGCUCAUCUUCCCAACUGCUUCCUUCUUACCUCCCCAAAAAAACUAAACAGUCUUCAUUAACGCUGUUUUUAUUAUUUUCUUUCCCUGGGUCUGCUCCUCUCCUCAGCCCCUUACUCCCAACUGGAAGAGACCCUUCCCACCUCGGAACCCUCAGCACUAGCUUGGUCUGCUUCUUUAGAUUCUAAGCAGUGACUGAUCUGAGAUACAGUCACUUUGGAAUCUAAAAAGGACACCAGCCCUCAGGCUCUGGGGCUCCUGGGACCUCCCUAAUGGAUCCCAAGAGAAACACCACGUUGUCAAAUCUUAUUUUAUUUCUACCAACAAUUGAAGUCGUGGCUUCAGAAGGAAAUAUUUGAGCACAGGGCACUGAGAUUUGAAUUCACAUCAGACUGCAGCAGAAACAGAAUGCAGGGCCAAUUGUAGGGCACCCUGCCCUCCCGAGUCUAGCUUCUGUGGGUGUCAGAAAACUCAGGGAAACCAAAUGCUCCCUGGGUCCCAUCAUCAAUAAAGUGCUGACUUGUCUCA